Molecule: long non-coding RNA, 564 nt
Filed under: Phoenix dactylifera (date palm)
Lineage: Eukaryota; Viridiplantae; Streptophyta; Magnoliopsida; Arecales; Arecaceae
Description: long non-coding RNA (PDAC_LNC021627)
Source: RNAcentral
AAUGAAUCUCGUCUGAUCUGGGUUUCAUAUGGUAGAUUUGCAAAGCUUUUGUUCUCGUUUUCCUUCAAGUAUGAGUGUAAUUUCAUGAUCUGGGUUUCAUAUAUUAGAUUCAUAAGUAUUUUAUUAUCCUUUCCCGAGUAUCUUGAGUGUAAUGUCACGAUGAUGGUCAUAUCCUUUAUCUUACUGCUAUUUUGUGGGCUAUACAGAAUUCCACUUGGGAUGUUUUUAUUAUUAAUAGUCCCUUCUGGUUCUUUUGGUCAAGGUAUUUUUCUGUAAGUGGGUCAUAUCCUAUAUUCUUCUAGGUAGAAGGUUGACCAGUUAGAUAUAAGCUUUUUUAAGAAAUUGCUUGUAUAGCCAAGGUAUGAAAAUUGGUACUGAGAAGUUAGUGUCCAUUCAACACAUGCUUUAUGAAUGAUUGGAUGCCCAUGACUUUUAUUUAUGGUUCCAUCUAGGAUGUUGUUUGUUCUGUCACUCCACAUCUUUGUUUACUGCACUGAAUCAUUGUUCCAAGUAACCACAUUUCUUGCAAUAUUUCUGUGUUGCAUGCACUUCAGCUGGCAGAAG